CACCAAGCAACCGAAUAAACGUCUCGGUUGUGGGCCCACCGGCGAAGCGGAUGUGCGUAUACAUCCGUUCUUCCGACGAAUCGAUUGGGAGAAAAUCGAGAAUCGUGAAGUGCAACCGCCAUUUAAGCCGAAAAUUAAACAUCGCAAAGAUGUCUCGAAUUUCGAUAAGCAAUUCACUUCGGAGAAAACGGAUCUGACACCAACGGAUAAAUUAUUUAUGAUGAAUUUCGACCAAACGGAAUUUAGGGGUUUCUCCUACGUGAAUCCGGACUAUGCGGUGCCAGUUUAAAAGCACUGAAUCUCCACAUACACACACCCAAAAGCACUUCGUUAGGCCAGCGUGUGUUGGAAUCGAAAGGACCCAACCACGAAAAGAAAAGCGAAAGCUGGGGAGAGAGAGCGGAAUUAAGCGAAUGAGAGGAUAUUGUCCUUUGGUGCGUAAGUGUAUACUUUGUUGCGAUGCGUGUUUUUCGAGCACACUGUACUUUCGUGUGAACGACGUGCCAUUAUAAGGCGCGAAAGCCAGAGUGCNGAACUUUAAUCCACUAAAACCAACCUACUCCCAACUCAAGGCUCUCCCACGGAACCACCAAAUAAGAUGUCUAAGAAUUGUCGUAAUGGAAGUUACCGCUUCGCGAGCAGACGACCUUCUUCAUGAACGAAGGGCAUUUGCCUGCAGCCUGUGAAAGGAAAAAGCUUCGAAAAUAUUACGCGGCGAGUUUUGGAUCAAGCACAUGCAAAGAAAUAUAAAUGUGCUCGGUAAAGGCUCUAUGCUAUAAAAGUGUUACGUCAUUAUAUAAACAGAUGAUAUGGAAUUGCCUAUGACUGAGAGAAGGUGUUCGCGCUCUCAGGUAAACCACCACGUUUGGUCUCACUACACUCGUGCUUUCAAACUAUGUGAUCUUAUGUCAGCAGAUUUAUGGCCGUCUCAAGGAAUCUGUAGUUAUGGAAGAGUUCUGAAGUAGAGCUUGCCGACUUCAGUUUGAGUAAGGAAGGUAUUGAAGAACGUGAUUCCAGGAGAACUUUCUGUGAUACCAAACUAUGAACCCUAUAACCAUACCCCCGAUUGGUGUUCUUUCGGUGUUUUGAUUUACGAAAUGUUGACGGACCGUAAUUCCUUCGAGGCUGAGGAUGAGGAGAACACGUUCAAAAAUAUUAAAGAUAAGAAAGCAGUCUUUCCGUAACACUUCUCUCAAGAGGCUAUGCAUGUGCGAGGCUGAGGAUGAGGAGAACACGUUCAAAAAUAUUAAAGAUAAGAAAGCAGUCUUUCCGAAACACUUCUCGCAAGAGGUUAUGGAUUUGCUAACAAGCUUUCUUGCUAAGAAGCCAAACAAUCGGUCAGAAAUGCCAGACGCUAUGCACGCUCUGAGGUAACCAUAUAUCCAUUCUUUAGGAAUAUUGACUGGUAUAAGACGGAAGCUAAGGGAAUGAAGCCACCAAUUGUGCCGCAAAUUGUAAACGCUGAGCUAAAAGCUUAACAGUCGUUAUCAAUAAGUGAUAACAUCGAAUUUCGAUAAAGUUUUCAUAACUGAGAAAGCAGACUUGACACCAACCGACGCGUUAUUUAUGAUGAACUUGGAGCAGAAUGACUUUAUAGGCUUUUCUUA
This 1607-nucleotide long non-coding RNA is filed under the name Bactrocera latifrons. RNAcentral's name for it is "uncharacterized LOC108977614, transcript variant X2". Lineage: Eukaryota; Metazoa; Arthropoda; Insecta; Diptera; Tephritidae. The record is from RNAcentral.